UUGCAGCUGUGCAAGAAUAUGAUCCAAACCCUAAAUCCUUUUGACAAGCUUAAGAAAGAAAAUGACAAAUUCCGGAAUGAACUUGAUAAUCUCCAGGAGAAAAUGAAAGAGCUUCAGAAAGAGAAUG
Mauremys reevesii (Reeves's turtle) is the source of this 127-nucleotide long non-coding RNA. RefSeq lists it as uncharacterized. NCBI's taxonomy places the organism in Eukaryota, Metazoa, Chordata, Testudines, Geoemydidae. The transcript has 5 exons. The record is from RefSeq and is a predicted model, not a curated record.